UACGUAGGGUGCAAGCGUUGUCCGGAAUUAUUGGGCGUAAAGAGCUCGUAGGCGGUUUGUCGCGUCUGCUGUGAAAUCUGGGGGCUCAACCCCCCAGCCUGCAGUGGGGUACGGGCAGACUAGAGUGCGGUAGGGGAGAUUGGAAUUCCUGGUGUAGCGGUGGAAUGCGCAGAUAUCAGGAGGAACACCGAUGGCGAAGGCGGGUCUCUGGGCCGUAACUGACGCUGAGGAGCGAAAGCAUGGGGGAGCGAACAGG
RNAcentral lists this ribosomal RNA (256 nucleotides) under uncultured bacterium. RNAcentral describes it as "partial 16S ribosomal RNA". It matches the Rfam family "Bacterial small subunit ribosomal RNA", at positions 524 to 776 of the family's 1533-position model. The record is from RNAcentral.